GGUGUAGGCGGAUCUGUAAGUCAGUGGUGAAAUCUCAUAGCUUAACUAUGAAACUGCCAUUGAUACUGCAGGUCUUGAGUAAGGUAGAAGUAGCUGGAAUAAGUAGUGUAGCGGUGAAAUGCAUAGAUAUUACUUAGAACACCAAUUGCGAAGGCAGGUUACUAUGUCUUAACUGACGCUGAUGGACGAAAGCGUGGGGAGCGAACAGGAUUAGAUACCCUGGUAGUCC
RNAcentral lists this ribosomal RNA (229 nucleotides) under uncultured bacterium. Its description in RNAcentral is "partial 16S ribosomal RNA". It matches the Rfam family "Bacterial small subunit ribosomal RNA", at positions 566 to 796 of the family's 1533-position model. The record is from RNAcentral.